GCCUACGGGGCGCAGCAGUGGGGAAUAUUGCACAAUGGGGGGAACCCUGAUGCAGCGACGCCGCGUGAGUGAAGAAGUAUUUCGGUAUGUAAAGCUCUAUCAGCAGGGAAGAAGAUGACGGUACCUGACUAAGAAGCCCCGGCUAACUACGUGCCAGCAGCCGCGGUAAUACGUAGGGGGCAAGCGUUAUCCGGAAUCACUGGGUGUAAAGGGAGCGUAGACGGCUGAGCAAGCCUGAAGUGAAAGGCGGGGGCCCAACCCCCGGACUGCUUUGGGAACUGUACGGCUGGAGUGCAGGAGAGGGG
Molecule: ribosomal RNA, 305 nt
Filed under: uncultured bacterium
Lineage: Bacteria
Description: bacterial SSU rRNA
Rfam family: Bacterial small subunit ribosomal RNA
Source: RNAcentral